UUGCACCUACGGGCGCAGCAGUGAGGAAUAUUGGUCAAUGGUCGGGAGACUGAACCAGCCAAGCCGCGUGAGGGAUGAAGGUACAGAGUAUCGUAAACCUCUUUUGUCAGGGAACAAAGGCGGGGACGUGUCCCCGGAUGAGUGUACCUGAAGAAAAAGCAUCGGCUAACUCCGUGCCAGCAGCCGCGGUAAUACGGAGGAUGCGAGCGUUAUCCGGAUUUAUUGGGUUUAAAGGGUGCGCGGGCGGUCUGUUAAGGCAGCGGGCAAAGACCGGGGCUCAACCCCGGCCCGCCGUUGAAACUGGG
RNAcentral lists this ribosomal RNA (305 nucleotides) under uncultured bacterium. RNAcentral's name for it is "bacterial SSU rRNA". It matches the Rfam family "Bacterial small subunit ribosomal RNA", at positions 333 to 637 of the family's 1533-position model. The record is from RNAcentral.